AUUGAACGCUGGCGGCAUGCCUUACACAUGCAAGUCGAACGGCAGCACGGGUGCUUGCACCUGGUGGCGAGUGGCGAACGGGUGAGUAAUAUAUCGGAACGUACCUUAUCGUGGGGGAUAACGCAGCGAAAGCUGCGCUAAUACCGCAUACGCCCUGAGGCGGAAAGCGGGGGACCGUAAGGCCUCGCGCGAUUAGAGCGGCCGAUAUCUGAUUAGCUUGUUGGUGGGGUAAAGCCACCAAGGCGACGAUCAGUAGCUGGUCUGAGAGGACGAUCAGCCACACUGGGACUGAGACACGGCCCAGACUCCUACGGGAGGCAGCAGUGGGGAAUUUUGGACAAUGGGGGCAACCCUGAUCCAGCAAUGCCGCGUGAGUGAAGAAGGCCUU
This 388-nucleotide ribosomal RNA is filed under the name uncultured bacterium. RNAcentral's name for it is "bacterial SSU rRNA". It matches the Rfam family "Bacterial small subunit ribosomal RNA", at positions 30 to 418 of the family's 1533-position model. The record is from RNAcentral.